GGUCACUGGCAGCUGCUCUCAGGUGUCCUUGCUCAAGGGAACACACAGCACACAGCCUGUGGAGGGUGGAGGAACCAACUGCAAGUUUCCGGACUGAAUUUAAACUCAUUCCCAGACCACUUGUCCCUGUCAAGUGAUGUACACUGAAGAAAGAGCCUCCUUCAGGCUGUGAGGUCUUCCUGUCAUCCUGACCAAUCAUUUCCCACCAUGAGACUGCUGUACCUUCUCUUUCUCUUUCUUGGAUAUCUGAUACAAACAGCCUCAGGAUAUGAGAGAAAGGAUAUAUUCCUUGAAUGUGAACACAUGGGUGGUGUCUGCAGGCACCAAAAAACCCACGGAUGCUCUAUCCUGCCUGCACUGUGCAAAAGCCGGUACAAACACUGCUGUAGGCUGUAGCUGCAACAGCCACAGGGGCCUCAGGGUAGCCCAGAAGAACUACAGCCCCUGACUUCUGCUGAAUAAAGCCAUCACCACCCAUGGGACCCUGUUGCUGAGAGCAUGCUUAACUUACAGACCGUUGGACCAGAGGCGGGAGAACUUA
Molecule: long non-coding RNA, 541 nt
Organism: Callithrix jacchus (white-tufted-ear marmoset)
Lineage: Eukaryota; Metazoa; Chordata; Mammalia; Primates; Cebidae
Source: RefSeq, a predicted model, not a curated record